RNAcentral lists this ribosomal RNA (527 nucleotides) under Salmonella enterica. RNAcentral's name for it is "partial 23S ribosomal RNA". It matches the Rfam family "Bacterial large subunit ribosomal RNA", at positions 774 to 1298 of the family's 2925-position model. The record is from RNAcentral. Lineage: Bacteria; Pseudomonadati; Pseudomonadota; Gammaproteobacteria; Enterobacterales; Enterobacteriaceae.
CCGAACCGACUAAUGUUGAAAAAUUAGCGGAUGACCUGUGGCUGGGGGUGAAAGGCCAAUCAAACCGGGAGAUAGCUGGUUCUCCCCGAAAGCUAUUUAGGUAGCGCCUCGUGAAUUCAUCUCCGGGGGUAGAGCACUGUUUCGGCUAGGGGGCCAUCCCGGCUUACCAACCCGAUGCAAACUGCGAAUACCGGAGAAUGUUAUCACGGGAGACACACGGCGGGUGCUAACGUCCGUCGUGAAGAGGGAAACAACCCAGACCGCCAGCUAAGGUCCCAAAGUCAUGGUUAAGUGGGAAACGAUGUGGGAAGGCCCAGACAGCCAGGAUGUUGGCUUAGAAGCAGCCAUCAUUUAAAGAAAGCGUAAUAGCUCACUGGUCGAGUCGGCCUGCGCGGAAGAUGUAACGGGGCUAAACCAUGCACCGAAGCUGCGGCAGCGACACUGUGUGUUGUUGGGUAGGGGAGCGUUCUGUAAGCCUGUGAAGGUGUGUCGUGAGGCAUGCUGGAGGUAUCAGAAGUGCGAAUGCU